Molecule: long non-coding RNA, 3354 nt
Organism: Marmota monax (woodchuck)
Lineage: Eukaryota; Metazoa; Chordata; Mammalia; Rodentia; Sciuridae
Exons: 3
Source: RefSeq, a predicted model, not a curated record
CAACGUACACAAGUUAUUCAUCACCCCCCGGUUAUUUUGCUGCAGCCGGACUGUGGCAGAUGGUGGCCUGUUACGGGGAGCCCCGGGACACUCGGGGUUGAAUGCUAUAGGAUUUUCUUUAGCCAUCCGGAGUUCCUGCCUUCGUCCCAGUGCUGGUAAAGACCAAGGUGGAAGAAUUUCCAGUGUUGCUGAGAACCGGACGAGACUUCAGAUCAAGCUAGCUGCCUGCAGAACUUACCUGGACUGUGAUUUACCUGGACUCUCUGCCUUUCUUGAUUACUUCUAGCAAAUGGAAACUUUUCUGUAACCCAAAAUUUGCUACAGUCUACUGCCUGGUUAUAGAAGAUUAUAAGAGGAGCAGGCUAGAUGUAGAUGAAUAACGUGAUGAAAGGACAAACAUAUCUUAUGUAACGUUGGAUGCCAAAAAUAAUACAGUGAAAUCCUGUUCUGUAAUUCCUAACCAUGUGAGUAUCCUCAUAAAAUAGUCUAUGAACACCUCCAUCUUGGCCUACCAGACUCCAGGUAUCUGUUAUGUCUACUUUUAAUUUAUCAAGACUUUUGGGCUGAUUAAUCACUAUAGGUAACUAUAUUCAAAAUGUUUACAUUUAAUUCUAGGAGAUCUAUGAACUGUCAUUUUUCUUCACCACACAUAAGAGUGUUUAUGACAUUGAACUGUGCACUACUUCAGAGGCAUCUUUAGAAUUCAGCACCAUGGCAGAAGACCCUAUAAGACUGUCCCUUUUGAUAGCCAUUUUCUCAGUCAAAGCCAGUCUAAGUACUGCUGGCAGAACCACCAGGGUCUCAAUCCAAGACGACCAAUGGACAGAGGUGUGUUUCCUGAGAAGAUCUCAGACAGCUCCACCCAACCUCUCCCCUGGCCUCUGUACUUCUACCAAAGUGAUAGAGAAGGACCUGGGUACUUUGUGAUCUCUGUCUUGGGACUCCAAAACAUGAUUUAACUAGAGAUGAAACUCACUGGAAAAAUUUUUUAAAAAAAAAAAAGAAAGAAAGAAAGACAAUAACAAAAAAAUAUAUGUUAGAGAUUUUAUCUUUAAACAACAUAUAUAGGAAUCUUAUAAUUGGCAAUCUCCUAAAAUGUUUUUUACUAAUUAUUUAUAAUAGCAGAUAUUGAAACUAUCAUGCAAAAUGCCUUAUUAAAACAUUCUGAGUCUCCAACCAAUGGACUGAAAUUCAAGAAUUCAGUAGGGAUUGAUGACGGGUACAUCAUUUGAAGAUAAAAUUAAUUUCUGAAUUGCAAAAUUCAAAGUACAUAGAUGAUGAAGGAACAAGGAUUUAUAACAUGUAGCUGAUCAAAGCUGUCACCAGUUGUUCAAUGCAUAUUUACAUAAAACAAAAUGUCAUAAUAUUCCUGAAGACAGGUAAAUCAAAAUCACUCAGUUUGUCAAGCAUAGUAAACAGAAAAAUUCUCCAAAGAGUAAUAACAUUUAUUUGGGAGAAGCAGAGUAUCAUGAUGGGAAUGGCAUGUGCCACAAUGAAAUAUGAACAUAUUCAAAGAGGUUGAGGCAAGGUGAAGUUUUAAAGGCAAAAAUAUAAAGUUAAUUCAGCUACUUGGAUACAGAGUUCAUUGGUCUAGUAGACUGGAGGCUGGGGUGGGCUCCAGCUCAUUGAUGAAGGUACAGUUGCUAGGCAAAUGUUCUGUUCAGAGCAUCUUAUCUGAAUUGCUACAGUCUUAAAGAACGUUAAAGAUACAUGUGGCUACAGAACUCUGUGCAUACUUGCAAGGUGUGUAAAGCAUGGAUGAAGGUACUCCUUCAUAGCUUUCAGACUAAUUUUGUCUGGAUCUGACAAGUACAAUUUCAUAUUAUUAUCAACAUAUACAAUUUCAUUCCCAUUUUUUUUCUCUCUUGAUUUGUAUUCAAAUGGUCUGGAAACUCUCUAAGAAAUACCUUCUUUCCUAUUCCAAGUACUCCCUACCCCCACUUGUGUAUUCAAGCAGUCCUUCUGACUGGUGUCAGCUAUCAAUUAUUUCUAUAUCCAAAUGUCCUUUCUGGAAUGCCUUUAUGUGAGAUAGGUUCGCACAUGCUUGUGUGUGAUGACCUUAUUUUAGCUAGUAUUUGCCUUCCGAAUUCUUUUAGAAUAUUUUUAUUUACGGAACAUCUAGGAGAUAUGGUCAGUACAGAAUUUAGAAAAAGAGUCAAAACAGAAAGAAUGGCACUAGAAAUUACCUGUGUAGAACAACCUGAAGCCCUGAAAAAAAAAAAGAUAAAAUACUAAUAAUAAUGCAAUGAAGGAAUCAAAAGUAGAAAGUAGGGGCAGAGGUCAUGGCUUUGAGUAUAUCACAAAAAUUACUGCAGAAAUUGCAUCACAGGGCUGAGUUACAGAGUGGAAAAGAAAGCAGAGAAUGCUCAGACCACUGCCCUAGUAUCUAGGGCUUGGGACACAAACUUUGCCUGAAUGAAAGAAGCAAGGUGGAGAGUGAAGAAAACCCUAGGAGAAUUCUGCCACAGGAUGUGGGUUAGCCACGCAGGAGGUUGCCAAUGAGGAAAUUGUAAAAGAACAUCAAGCGGGGAAAAGAUCUAGUACAAACCGAACAGGAAUGCUUUGCUUUUGAUCCCCAGAACCUCAGGGGCUUAAGAACUAACACAAAGUUUUAAAGGGAAGUAAAACUGAGUUAUCAAAGAAUCUGAACUGUGACAUUAGACUCUAGAAACUAAGGGGCUGCUUCACAAUUUCACUUCCCUAAUUUAAGGCCAGAUGAAACCAUGCUGGGGUUGUCUGAUAACAUAUGAUGUGCAUGUGUGAAACCACUGUGGAUACAUGGGUUAAAAUAUUGCAGUGGGAGAGCUGAGUGUAGCUCAGUGAUAAAGUACUUGCCUAGCAUGAGUGUGGGCCUGGAUUUUAAGUCCAGCACUGCAAAAAGAAAAAAAAAAAGUUUUAGUGAGAGCAAUUUCACAAUUGAGCAUAAGUGUUCUUUAUUUUCCUUGAGAUUUGGUGGUUUUUGAUUUUGUUUAACGAGUUGAGGCCCCACUGACAGAUGUAAGCUUUGAUCAAAAGAACUGUAUUGUGGAAUCUAUGAGGAGUUCCUUGUUUGUAUCUAACUCAAAUCAAAGGGUUCAAGAUUAACUGCUAACUUCCAGUAAGCUUCUAACCUUCUAGAUAUGACAUCGUUGCUCAAGAGUCACAAAUACACACAACAAAGCCACUACACAACAUCUGACUUCCUUAAGCAGAACCUUGCAAAUCCAAAGUUGUGAAAAGACACGAGAACAUACAAUUUUGAUGAUCGCGUGAUUGGAACUGUAUGCACCACAACUUUCAAAUUACCAUUAUCGGUGUCCCAACGUUGAACAUAGGAACAUAUAAGCUCUUUUCAAAAAUAAACAAACAGCAUGA